GACGAACGCUGGCGGCGUGCUUAACACAUGCAAGUCGAACGGAAAGGCCCUGCUUGCCGGGUACUCGAGUGGCGAACGGGUGAGUAACACGUGGGUGAUCUGCCCUGCACUUCGGGAUAAGCCUGGGAAACUGGGUCUAAUACCGGAUAGGAGCCAUUUUUAGUGUGAUGGUUGGAAAGUUUUUUCGGUGUAGGAUGAGCUCGCGGCCUAUCAGCUUGUUGGUGGGGUAAUGGCCUACCAAGGCGGCGACGGGUAGCCGGCCUGAGAGGGUGGACGGCCACAUUGGGACUGAGAUACGGCCCAGACUCCUACGGGAGGCAGCAGUGGGGAAUAUUGCACAAUGGGCGCAAGCCUGAUGCAGCGACGCCGCGUGGGGGAUGACGGCCUUCGGGUUGUAAACUCCUUUCGCUAGGGACGAAGCUUUUUGUGACGGUACCUAGAUAAGAAGCACCGGCUAACUACGU
Molecule: ribosomal RNA, 464 nt
Filed under: uncultured bacterium
Lineage: Bacteria
Description: partial 16S ribosomal RNA
Rfam family: Bacterial small subunit ribosomal RNA
Source: RNAcentral